Odontomachus brunneus is the source of this 3701-nucleotide long non-coding RNA. RefSeq lists it as uncharacterized. The record is from RefSeq and is a predicted model, not a curated record. Lineage: Eukaryota; Metazoa; Arthropoda; Insecta; Hymenoptera; Formicidae. The transcript has 3 exons.
GUCGAUUUAUUUGCCGCAUUUCACGCGCGGAGAUAGUUCCACGAUUUUAUGCAAAUUCAGCGCGCGAGCCGUUAAAAAGCAGCUUUUUCUCGCGCACGGCGAUUGUGCAAAUUACCGUCUUGCACAGGCGACUUGCGUUAUCGACUUUUAUUGCAUUCGUUUUCAUUUUUAUCACAGUAAAUUCUGCUUUACUCCACUCGACCGCCGUCGUAUUUUGUAUUUUGGGUGAUGUGAAAACCGCAUAUUUUUAUAUUUACCUGUUUACUCGCGCCGCUAACACACGGCUGUGUUAUGUACCAUCGCGAUCGCGUGGAAAAGCCAACCUAACCUAACGCGGAGAUAUCUCAUAGCUCCAAGUUUCCGAAUAAACGGCCGCGGGCUCGCCGGCUCUCCUCGCGGGGCAGGGGCAAUCGAUUUCGCUAUUAUAUGCCGGGGACCGUUUUACUUUACGUUCCGUAGAAUAAACACGGAAUCGUAAAUUGCGGAUGAUGGCCGGUGCCGGAGAAACUAAAUGGCUGCGAUUAUUCGUGCGGUCCCCGGCCGCGGCACGUACGCCCGACUUUAUCGUAGCCGCCAGCUUUGAGAUAUACCAUCCGCGCGCCCGGGACGUACAACGUUUUCCUCGAUACUCGACGAAUUACGACGACGGGCUCGCAUUUUUCUCGGAUGUGCCGGCCGUAAGACGCCCGAUCGACAAUUACACACGUACGACGUACGCGUCUGGACUCCGCCGCGUUUUAUCUUGUGAAGCACGUUUAGCGCGCUCCAAAGCGUGACACGGAUUCUUCGUCGUCGGGGGAACCUCGUGUUAUCCUCGUCGGUUGCCCUUAUUGCGGACAGACGAACGGACGGACGUACGGACGUUGCUUUCGCGACGCUCCCGUCGCGGUCACUGACGCGAAAUUUCCAUCGAGAGAUGGACCGUCGAAGUACCGGAUUGCGUGUCGAGAUUUAUCUCGGAUUUCUUUUUCAUGCUUCGUGUUUCGUCCUUGAUGGGUAUUAAAGGAGCGAUCGCAUCAGAGGUUCGAAUGAAACCGGUAUUAUUAUACGAUUUCAUCCUACCUUGACUCGCUAAUCGCGCAAAACUUCAUGUUUUAUACGAUAAAAAUAUCCGACACUCUCAGUUUUCGUAUCUGAAUACAUGUGUGUAUGUGAUUCGCAGAGUUGAAUAUGAAACGUAGAGUUUCAUGUGAGCAGCUCUGUGUCGGAUCAUUAUUUACUAAAUGACAAAUCGCCCGGAAAUAUCCACGCGGAAUUUUGCUGGACUGAGUGUGCAAUCCCUUGCUAACAGUUACUUAACUAACAUUGGGUGUCGUGUAUAUUUCUGGCGUUACAUUGUCUAUUCCUUUGGAAUUAAUACCGCGUUUCUAAUUCCUAAUUAAUAAAUUCGACGAUUGUCCGAUUUUAUUGUUACUUGAGUGAAUCAAUAGUACUUACAAGUGUAAGAGACGCCGAUUCGACAUGUCGCGACAAGCAUCGGUUGUGUAUGUCGAAAAGUGGGAGGAUUAAUUCUUACUGACGUACUUGCGAUACUUCCCGACGAUCGUACGUCGCUAUUUCGACACUUCUGAUAUUUACUUCCGCGCGAGACUAACUUGCGACAGGCAAAAGAGGCAUAAAGUGCGAAGCGAUGUCGAUCGAUGUGUCCAUGGCGGUUGUUCGAUGCGAAAAGAUCGAAAUUCAAGAUGGCCGCAAUAUUACACGGUCCGACAAGGAUGCAAUCUAUAGGACAUCAUUUUCUUGUUAACAGACUGAUGUUACAAUCCGAGAUUCGGCAUCACUUUUCUUUUUUACUCAAAUUUUCAUCGAAUUCUUAGUUUCCGAUUAAUAAAUUCGAUGGUCGUCCGAUUCUGUCAUACCAUUUGAAUGAGUCAGUGGAACUUACAAGUGUGUAAAACGCUGACUCGACACGUCGCAACGGUGGCACGUAAAUGUCGCGAAAUAAGAAGAUUAUUCGCUACCGACGUACUUACGAUACUUCUCGACGAUCGUACAUCGCUAUUUCGACACUCGAUAUUUAUUUCCGUGCGAGAUUCACUUUGGACAGGCGAAAGACGCGUAAAACGCGGAGCGCUCGACGUGUUAAUGGUGGCUGCCCGACGUAAACAGGUCGGAAAUGGCAGCGCGAUUGAUCACGUACGCCAAAAAUACGCGACGAGACGUGAACGGUGUUGAAACGUGAAGUCGUACAACGAUGCGCUCUGUACACUUAGGUUAAGGUCCAAUUGAAACUAGCAAUGCUGUUGAGUCCGUAAAGCACGACUGUGAACGCUAUUCACAAUCAAAUCUUACGCUUAAGAUCGUAUAUUAAGUUCACUUUCAUAUAUUAUACGAAUUAUUUCAUUGGCCGCGGAGUAUCUGAAGAUAAACGUAAGAUAAUUUCAAAGUUGAACUAUAAAUACCGGCUUGCGAUUGGUUUAACUCGCGGAUACUUUGUCACUAGUUAGCAUAGUUACUAAAAGUUUUUGGCCAACUGUAUUCUUAUCUAGCAUUUCUUAUGACGCGAAUAUCAACAUUUCGGAGUUACAUUCGUCGGAUGUAAUAAUUCGCUGCACUUUAUCGCGACAGACGGAAAUUUCAGCGAAAGAAGGGUAUCUCGAACGCGUUUAUCGAUCAGUCGCGCGCGCGAUUAUCGAUUGGUGGCGUGCGUGUUUGCGCGUUCGCUCGCUCGCCGCGUCGUUGUCGCGGCGCGACAACGUUUUCGCGCGCGCAUUUUCGCGUACAUCAUCAAUCGCGUCGCCAUUAUUGACCUUUCUGUGUCGAGCAGCUGCCAUUAGCACAUCGAUCGAUAUCGCUUCGUGUUUUGCGCUUGUUUUGCCCGUAAGUGAGUCUCACGCGGAAAAAAGUGUCGGGAGUGCCGAAAUGGCGAUGUGCGAUCGUCGGGAAGCAUCGUACGUAACUGCCUUCGCCUUGCCUUCGUACAUCAAUCAACGGUUAGAGUAAGCACAAACGCGCCGUGUACAUACAUUUUCCUCGAGGAUUAAUUCCCUCGAAAGCCGGGCGGCUUUCACGGUGACUGGGCAGAAGGUAAAUUAAUCACUUUCGAAACUCUCGUGACGCAUAAUUCGCUUAAUCACGCACUUCCACGCGAGUUACACUCGUUAUCUCGUUGAUAAGGGCGUUUCGCUGGCGAUUCUAUAUUUAGCACGUAUCGUUCGCGAUCUAGCAUCGAGAGAAAAUAAAUCAUAUAUCACACAGUGAUAGUUUUAUACAAGAGAAAUCCGCUUUUCCUCUUAAAAAUUGCUACAAGUUGUCAACCAUCUCCUCUCGAUCGUCAACCGUUCUGUUGCGAGUUUAAGCAAGUUAAAAAAAGAUUAUCGUUUCGGAGUCGUGAGAGGGGGAGGCACGCGAUUUGUCUGUGUCGCUCUUACGUACGAGACACACUAACGACGCGGUUAACUCGCCCGCGACGGAAUUCGGUUCGACAACCGACACGGACGUCCGGUUAAAACCGCGAAAGUAAUCCACGCGACCGUCGGUAGGCGUUACGACACGUCGAACGCGGAGAACGUUUCACGCCCAUGUAGGUGCGUACCUAACGUCGCAUCGGGUAAAUACAUAAGCCGGGGAUGCACCGGCGUGUAAUAGAGUUUCGCGUGCUUUGUUAAGCGAAUGGUAGGCAGAGGCUUUCCCUGGACGUGGCAGGGUGGCAAAGCAGGGUUGGAGAGGAUCGAGAGAGAUAGAGAGAGAGAACGGGAAUG